GGGUAGUUUCCCUGCGCAAGUCCUUUUUUCCCCUGCUGCCAUCCAUUUAAGAUGUGACUUGCUCCUCCUUGUCUUCUGCUAUGAUUGUGAGGCCUCCCCAGUCACAUGGAACUCAAAGCUAGAGGAAACCAAAGUCGUAGAACAUCUGAACUCUGUCCAAACUUCGGUUGUAUUUCAAAAUUUCAGACUGAGUCUCUUUCUGU
Molecule: long non-coding RNA, 203 nt
Organism: Piliocolobus tephrosceles (Ugandan red Colobus)
Lineage: Eukaryota; Metazoa; Chordata; Mammalia; Primates; Cercopithecidae
Exons: 4
Source: RefSeq, a predicted model, not a curated record